AGCGAACGCUGGCGGCAGGCCUAACACAUGCAAGUCGAACGAACUCUUCGGAGUUAGUGGCGGACGGGUGAGUAACACGUGGGAACGUGCCUUUAGGUUCGGAAUAACUCAGGGAAACUUGAGCUAAUACCGGAUGUGCCCUUCGGGGGAGAGAUUUAUCGCCUUUAGAGCGGCCCGCGUCUGAUUAGCUAGUUGGUGAGGUAAAGGCUCACCAAGGCGACGAUCAGUAGCUGGUCUGAGAGGAUGAUCAGCCACAUUGGGACUGAGACACGGCCCAAACUCCUACGGGAGGCAGCAGUGGGGAAUCUUGCGCAAUGGGCGAAAGCCUGACGCAGCCAUGCCGCGUGAAUGAUGAAGGUCUUAGGAUUGUUAAAUUCUUUCACCGGGGACGAUAAUGACGGUACCCGGAGAAGAAGCCCCGGCUAACUUCGUG
Molecule: ribosomal RNA, 433 nt
Filed under: uncultured bacterium
Lineage: Bacteria
Description: partial 16S ribosomal RNA
Rfam family: Bacterial small subunit ribosomal RNA
Source: RNAcentral